AAAGUGCGAAACGUAGUGCGAUUUGCAUGCCCUGUGAGUCAUCGAGUCUUUGAACGCAUAUUGCGCCUUUUGGCCAUGCUGAGAGGCAUGCCUGUUUGAGAAUCAUUCAUCACAUCCAUUUCUGGGUGGACACUACCAUCCGGGAGACAUGGCGUGUCAUCACUGACAGUCUUGAAUUGUGCGCGUGACUGUGUCGUGGUAUUUGCGGAUGCACGUGUGCGUUGCGAUCGUCGACCAAUCACUUUUCGAACUGAUGAUCUCAAAUCAGGCAGGAUCACCCGCUGAACUUAA
RNAcentral lists this unclassified non-coding RNA (291 nucleotides) under uncultured Piptocephalidaceae. RNAcentral's name for it is "sequence contains ITS1". The stretch from base 1 to 105 matches the Rfam family "5.8S ribosomal RNA", at positions 50 to 154 of the family's 154-position model. The record is from RNAcentral. Lineage: Eukaryota; Fungi; Zoopagomycota; Zoopagomycetes; Zoopagales; Piptocephalidaceae.